Molecule: small nucleolar RNA, 106 nt
Organism: Medicago truncatula (barrel medic)
Lineage: Eukaryota; Viridiplantae; Streptophyta; Magnoliopsida; Fabales; Fabaceae
Rfam family: Small nucleolar RNA snoR100
Source: Rfam
GAAUGAAGGAAUCAUUGCUGUGUGCACGAAAAUUAAAUUUUAGGUCCGCAUGUCUGCCCUCUAUGAUCUUUGAUUUGAUUUUAGGGCCUGGUAACGACCUACAUUU